This 1388-nucleotide ribosomal RNA is filed under the name Escherichia coli. RNAcentral's name for it is "bacterial SSU rRNA". It matches the Rfam family "Bacterial small subunit ribosomal RNA", at positions 161 to 1533 of the family's 1533-position model. The record is from RNAcentral. Lineage: Bacteria; Pseudomonadati; Pseudomonadota; Gammaproteobacteria; Enterobacterales; Enterobacteriaceae.
AGCUAAUACCGCAUAACGUCGCAAGACCAAAGAGGGGGACCUUCGGGCCUCUUGCCAUCGGAUGUGCCCAGAUGGGAUUAGCUAGUAGGUGGGGUAAAGGCUCACCUAGGCGACGAUCCCUAGCUGGUCUGAGAGGAUGACCAGCCACACUGGAACUGAGACACGGUCCAGACUCCUACGGGAGGCAGCAGUGGGGAAUAUUGCACAAUGGGCGCAAGCCUGAUGCAGCCAUGCCGCGUGUAUGAAGAAGGCCUUCGGGUUGUAAAGUACUUUCAGCGGGGAGGAAGGGAGUAAAGUUAAUACCUUUGCUCAUUGACGUUACCCGCAGAAGAAGCACCGGCUAACUCCGUGCCAGCAGCCGCGGUAAUACGGAGGGUGCAAGCGUUAAUCGGAAUUACUGGGCGUAAAGCGCACGCAGGCGGUUUGUUAAGUCAGAUGUGAAAUCCCCGGGCUCAACCUGGGAACUGCAUCUGAUACUGGCAAGCUUGAGUCUCGUAGAGGGGGGUAGAAUUCCAGGUGUAGCGGUGAAAUGCGUAGAGAUCUGGAGGAAUACCGGUGGCGAAGGCGGCCCCCUGGACGAAGACUGACGCUCAGGUGCGAAAGCGUGGGGAGCAAACAGGAUUAGAUACCCUGGUAGUCCACGCCGUAAACGAUGUCGACUUGGAGGUUGUGCCCUUGAGGCGUGGCUUCCGGAGCUAACGCGUUAAGUCGACCGCCUGGGGAGUACGGCCGCAAGGUUAAAACUCAAAUGAAUUGACGGGGGCCCGCACAAGCGGUGGAGCAUGUGGUUUAAUUCGAUGCAACGCGAAGAACCUUACCUGGUCUUGACAUCCACGGAAGUUUUCAGAGAUGAGAAUGUGCCUUCGGGAACCGUGAGACAGGUGCUGCAUGGCUGUCGUCAGCUCGUGUUGUGAAAUGUUGGGUUAAGUCCCGCAACGAGCGCAACCCUUAUCCUUUGUUGCCAGCGGUCCGGCCGGGAACUCAAAGGAGACUGCCAGUGAUAAACUGGAGGAAGGUGGGGAUGACGUCAAGUCAUCAUGGCCCUUACGACCAGGGCUACACACGUGCUACAAUGGCGCAUACAAAGAGAAGCGAUCUCGCGAGAGCAAGCGGACCUCAUAAAGUGCGUCGUAGUCCGGAUUGGAGUCUGCAACUCGACUCCAUGAAGUCGGAAUCGCUAGUAAUCGUGGAUCAGAAUGCCACGGUGAAUACGUUCCCGGGCCUUGUACACACCGCCCGUCACACCAUGGGAGUGGGUUGCAAAAGAAGUAGGUAGCUUAACCUUCGGGAGGGCGCUUACCACUUUGUGAUUCAUGACUGGGGUGAAGUCGUAACAAGGUAACCGUAGGGGAACCUGCGGUUGGAUCACCUCCUUACCUUAAAGAAGC